Vulpes vulpes (red fox) is the source of this 104-nucleotide small nuclear RNA. The record is from Ensembl. Lineage: Eukaryota; Metazoa; Chordata; Mammalia; Carnivora; Canidae.
AUGCUCACUUUGGCAGUACAAAUACUAAAAUUGGAAUGAUACAGAGAUUAGCAUGGCUCCUAUGCAAGGAUGACAUACAAAUUUGUGAAGUGUUCCAUGUUAAA